This 486-nucleotide ribosomal RNA is filed under the name uncultured bacterium. RNAcentral describes it as "partial 16S ribosomal RNA". It matches the Rfam family "Bacterial small subunit ribosomal RNA", at positions 30 to 507 of the family's 1533-position model. The record is from RNAcentral.
AUUGAACGCUGGCGGCAUGCCUUACACAUGCAAGUCGAACGGCAGCACGGGUGCUUGCACCUGGUGGCGAGUGGCGAACGGGUGAGUAAUACAUCGGAACAUGUCCUGUAGUGGGGGAUAGCCCGGCGAAAGCCGGAUUAAUACCGCAUACGAUCCACGGAUGAAAGCGGGGGCCCUUCGGGCCUCGCGCUUUAGGGUUGGCCGAUGGCUGAUUAGCUAGUUGGUGGGGUAAAGGCCUACCAAGGCGACGAUCAGUAGCUGGUCUGAGAGGACGACCAGCCACACUGGGACUGAGACACGGCCCAGACUCCUACGGGAGGCAGCAGUGGGGAAUUUUGGACAAUGGGCGAAAGCCUGAUCCAGCAAUGCCGCGUGUGUGAAGAAGGCCUUCGGGUUGUAAAGCACUUUUGUCCGGAAAGAAAUCCUUGACUCUAAUACAGUCGGGGGAUGACGGUACCGGAAGAAAAAGCACCGGCUAACUACGUG